This 407-nucleotide ribosomal RNA is filed under the name Ixodes ovatus. RNAcentral describes it as "partial 16S ribosomal RNA". The stretch from base 284 to 407 matches the Rfam family "Bacterial large subunit ribosomal RNA", at positions 2473 to 2596 of the family's 2925-position model. The record is from RNAcentral. Lineage: Eukaryota; Metazoa; Arthropoda; Arachnida; Ixodida; Ixodidae.
UAUUUUGACUAUACGAAGGUAUUGAAAUAAGGCUUUAAAUGAGUGCUAAGAGAAUGGUUGAACAAUUAUGGGCUUUCUUUAAUUAAUAAAUUGAAUUUAAUGUUUUUGUGAAGAAGCAAAAAUGAUAAUUAGGGACAAGAAGACCCUAUGAAUUUUUAAACUGAAAUUAUUAUUUGUAUGAUUUUUCAGUUUUAAUUGGGGCGAUGAGAAAAGAAUAUUUAUCUUUUUUUUAAUAAGUUAAUUUGAUCCAUUAAUAAUGAUUAAAUGAUUUAAAUACUCUAGGGAUAACAGCGUAAUAAUUUCGGAUAGUUCAUAUAGAUGAAAUAGUUUGCGACCUCGAUGUUGGAUUAGGAUACUUUUUUGGUGGAGAAAUUAAUAUGAAGAAGUUUGUUCAACUUUUAAAAUCC